AUUCAGCUGACGAGUAACAAAUAGGACGAAAUGCGCGUUCUGGAU
Molecule: non-coding RNA, 45 nt
Organism: Schistosoma haematobium
Lineage: Eukaryota; Metazoa; Platyhelminthes; Trematoda; Strigeidida; Schistosomatidae
Source: Rfam